GGGUCCGUAGCUCAGCCUGGACAGAGCAGCAGCCUCCUAAGCUUGAGCAAAUGGGUGGAGAAAGUUGAAGGUCGCGGGUUCAAAUCCCGCCGGAUCCG
RNAcentral lists this transfer RNA (98 nucleotides) under Candidatus Aenigmatarchaeota archaeon. Its description in RNAcentral is "tRNA-Arg". It matches the Rfam family "tRNA". From Rfam's summary of the family: Transfer RNA (tRNA) molecules are approximately 80 nucleotides in length. Their secondary structure includes four short double-helical elements and three loops (D, anti-codon, and T loops). The record is from RNAcentral. Lineage: Archaea; Nanobdellati; Candidatus Aenigmatarchaeota.